RNAcentral lists this ribosomal RNA (481 nucleotides) under uncultured bacterium. RNAcentral's name for it is "partial 16S ribosomal RNA". It matches the Rfam family "Bacterial small subunit ribosomal RNA", at positions 28 to 507 of the family's 1533-position model. The record is from RNAcentral.
GAUGAACGCUGGCGGCGUGCUUAACACAUGCAAGUCGAACGAAGCACGUUAUUUGAUUUCCUACGGGACUGAUUAUUUUGUGACUGAGUGGCGGACGGGUGAUUAACGCGUGGGUAACCUACCUUGUACAGGGGGAUAACAUAUUGAAACAUCUGCUCAUAACGCACAAGCGCCCAGCAUCACAUGAGGCAGUGCGAAAAACUCCGGUGGUAUAAGAUGGACCCGCAUUGGAAUUGCUAGUGGGGGAGGUAACGGCCCACCAAGGCGACGGUCCAUAGUCGACAUUAGAAGGCGACCGGCCACCUUGGGACAGGGACACGGAGCCAAAUCCUACGGAAGGCCGAAGUGCGGAAUAUUGCACAAUGGGCGAGAGCAUAAGGCAGCUAGGCCGCGUGAUCGGAGAUGUAUUUGGGUAUGUAAAGCUCAAUCUGCAGCGCAGAUAAUGACGGUACCUGACUAAGAAGCACCGGCUAACUACGUG